UUUGAACGCUGGCGGCAGGCCUAACACAUGCAAGUCGAACGGUAACAGAAAGCAGCUUGCUGCUUUGCUGACGAGUGGCGGACGGGUGAGUAAUGUCUGGGAAACUGCCUGAUGGAGGGGGAUAACUACUGGAAACGGUAGCUAAUACCGCAUAACGUCGCAAGACCAAAGAGGGGGACCUUCGGGCCUCUUGCCAUCGGAUGUGCCCAGAUGGGAUUAGCUAGUAGGUGGGGUAACGGCUCACCUAGGCGACGAUCCCUAGCUGGUCUGAGAGGAUGACCAGCCACACUGGAACUGAGACACGGUCCAGACUCCUACGGGAGGCAGCAGUGGGGAAUAUUGCACAAUGGGCGCAAGCCUGAUGCAGCCAUGCCGCGUGUAUGAAGAAGGCCUUCGGGUUGUAAAGUACUUUCAGCGGGGAGGAAGGGAGUAAAGUUAAUACCUUUGCUCAUUGACGUUACCCGCAGAAGAAGCACCGGCUAACUCCGUG
Molecule: ribosomal RNA, 490 nt
Filed under: uncultured bacterium
Lineage: Bacteria
Description: partial 16S ribosomal RNA
Rfam family: Bacterial small subunit ribosomal RNA
Source: RNAcentral